RNAcentral lists this ribosomal RNA (446 nucleotides) under uncultured bacterium. RNAcentral's name for it is "partial 16S ribosomal RNA". It matches the Rfam family "Bacterial small subunit ribosomal RNA", at positions 338 to 795 of the family's 1533-position model. The record is from RNAcentral.
CCUACGGGAGGCAGCAGUCGAGAAUCAUUCACAAUGGGGGAAACCCUGAUGGUGCGACGCCGCGUGGGGGAAUGAAGUUCUUCGGAUUGUAAACCCCUGUCAUGUGGGAGCAAAUUAAAAAGAUAGUACCACAAGAGGAAGAGACGGCUAACUCUGUGCCAGCAGCCGCGGUAAUACAGAGGUCUCAAGCGUUGUUCGGAAUCACUGGGCGUAAAGCGUGCGUAGGCUGUUUCGUAAGUCGUGUGUGAAAGGCGCGGGCUCAACCCGCGGACGGCACAUGAUACUGCGAGACUAGAGUAAGGGAGGGGGAACCGGAAUUCUCGGUGUAGCAGUGAAAUGCGUAGAUAUCGAGAGGAACACUCGUGGCGAAGGCGGGUUCCUGGACAUUAACUGACGCUGAGGCACGAAGGCCAGGGGAGCGAAAGGGAUUAGAUACCCCUGUAGUC